AUUGAACGCUGGCGGCAGGCCUAACACAUGCAAGUCGAGCGGAUGAAGGGAGCUUGCUCCUGGAUUCAGCGGCGGACGGGUGAGUAAUGCCUAGGAAUCUGCCUGGUAGUGGGGGAUAACGUCCGGAAACGGGCGCUAAUACCGCAUACGUCCUGAGGGAGAAAGUGGGGGUUCUUCGGACCUCAGGUUUCCGGAUAACCUAGGUCGGAUUAGCUAGUUGGUGGGGUAAAGGCCUACCAAGGCGACGAUCCGUAACUGGUCUGAGAGGAUGAUCAGUCACACUGGAACUGAGACACGGUCCAGACUCCUACGGGAGGCAGCAGUGGGGAAUAUUGGACAAUGGGCGAAAGCCUGAUCCAGCCAUGCCGCGUGUGUGAAGAAGGUCUUCGGAUUGUAAAGCACUUUAAGUUGGGAGGAAGGGCAGUAAGUUAAUACCUUGCUGUUUUGACGUUACCAACAGAAUAAGCACCGGCUAACUUCGUG
Molecule: ribosomal RNA, 483 nt
Filed under: uncultured bacterium
Lineage: Bacteria
Description: partial 16S ribosomal RNA
Rfam family: Bacterial small subunit ribosomal RNA
Source: RNAcentral